Molecule: ribosomal RNA, 187 nt
Filed under: uncultured rumen bacterium
Lineage: Bacteria
Description: partial 16S ribosomal RNA
Rfam family: Bacterial small subunit ribosomal RNA
Source: RNAcentral
UACGGGAGGCAGCAGUAGGGAAUUUUCGGCAAUGGGCGCAAGCCUGACCGAGCAACGCCGCGUGAGUGAAGACGGCCUUCGGGUUGUAAAGCUCUGUUGUAAGGGAAGAACACCUGUGAGAGAAUCACGGGCUGACGGUACCUUACCAGAAAGCCACGGCUAACUACGUGCCAGCAGCCGCGGUAAU